GGGGGCGUAGCUCAGUUGGGAGAGCACCAGAAUGGCAUUCUGGGGGUCGAGGGUUCAACUCCCUUCGCCUCCACCA
Molecule: transfer RNA, 76 nt
Filed under: Verrucomicrobia bacterium ADurb.Bin345
Lineage: Bacteria; Pseudomonadati; Verrucomicrobiota
Description: tRNA-Ala
Rfam family: tRNA
About the family: Transfer RNA (tRNA) molecules are approximately 80 nucleotides in length. Their secondary structure includes four short double-helical elements and three loops (D, anti-codon, and T loops).
Source: RNAcentral